GCCAGGCAUGGUGGCACAUGCCUGUAAUCCCAGCAGUUUGGGAGGCUGAGGCAGGAGGAUGGUGCGUUCAAAGCCAGCCUCAGCAAAAGCAAGGUGCUAAGCAACUCAGUGAGACCCUGUCUCUG
This 125-nucleotide small RNA is filed under the name Marmota monax (woodchuck). Lineage: Eukaryota; Metazoa; Chordata; Mammalia; Rodentia; Sciuridae. The record is from RNAcentral.